RNAcentral lists this ribosomal RNA (253 nucleotides) under uncultured bacterium. Its description in RNAcentral is "partial 16S ribosomal RNA". It matches the Rfam family "Bacterial small subunit ribosomal RNA", at positions 524 to 776 of the family's 1533-position model. The record is from RNAcentral.
UACGUAGGGAGCAAGCGUUGUCCGGAAUCAUUGGGCGUAAAGCGCGCGUAGGUGGCCUCGUAAGUCCGCUGUGAAAGUCCAAGGCUCAACCUUGGAAAGCCGGUGGAUACUGUGGGGCUAGAGUACGGAAGAGGCGAGUGGAAUUCCUGGUGUAGCGGUGGAAUGCGCAGAUAUCAGGAGGAACACCAAUAGCGAAGGCAGCUCGCUGGGACGUUACUGACACUGAGGCACGAAAGCGUGGGGAGCGAACAGG